CCUACGGGAGGCUGCAGUGGGGGAUAUUGGACAAUGGGCGAAAGCCUGAUCCAGCCAUGCCGCGUGUGUGAAGAAGGCCUUCGGGUUGUAAAGCACUUUCAGUGGGGAAGAAAGCCUUGGGGCUAAUACCCUCGAGGAAGGACAUCACCCACAGAAGAAGCACCGGCUAACUCCGUGCCAGCAGCCGCGGUAAUACGGAGGGUGCGAGCGUUAAUCGGAAUUACUGGGCGUAAAGCGCGCGUAGGCGGUCUGAUAAGCCGGUUGUGAAAGCCCCGGGCUCAACCUGGGAACGGCAUCCGGAACUGUCAGGCUAGAGUGCAGGAGAGGAAGGUAGAAUUCCCGGUGUAGCGGUGAAAUGCGUAGAGAUCGGGAGGAAUACCAGUGGCGAAGGCGGCCUUCUGGACUGACACUGACGCUGAGGUGCGAAAGCGUGGGUAGCAAACAGGAUUAGAUACCCCAGUAGUC
RNAcentral lists this ribosomal RNA (465 nucleotides) under Vreelandella stevensii. RNAcentral's name for it is "partial 16S ribosomal RNA". It matches the Rfam family "Bacterial small subunit ribosomal RNA", at positions 338 to 795 of the family's 1533-position model. Lineage: Bacteria; Pseudomonadati; Pseudomonadota; Gammaproteobacteria; Oceanospirillales; Halomonadaceae. The record is from RNAcentral.